AGAAACUGUUCUUCUGUUGUUAAGCAAAGAUCCAAUUUAUUUUUAAAGGCUUUAAUAUACCUUGAAGCACAGUAAUAAAGACAGUGAUGGCAGCUGUCCAUGCCCUACAGUGGGCACAGGCUUCCCACGAGCCAGGCUCUAGUGCCUAAGUCCUGGCUUCCCAUAGUAAGAAUCAUCGUAAUAACAUUGUUAACUUCAUAAAACUGUCAACUAAACGAGGGAGACACUCUCUGAGAAAAGCCCGUGGCAACAUUUGUAGAUAUGUAAAUCUAUAUCUAGUUAAGCAUAAGUAUUUUAAAAAGCAUUUAUUUAUGUGAUUCACUUUUGUCCUUUAAAAUAAUUAGUGUAUAGGUGAGGUAUGUACUGGUGUGCAGCUGCACAUGUGUGAGUGUGUGUGCAGAGGCCAGGGCAAGCUUGGUGUCUGCCCUCUGCUAUCUAUCUGCCUUAUAUUUGAGACAGAGUCUCUCGUUGGCCUGGAGCUCGGCCACCAGGUUGGGCUGGCUAGCUGGCAGUGAGGCCCGGGAUCUGCUGUCAGGGCCUCAGCACUGAGCUACCAAGCACAGGCGAUGAUGGCUGGCUUUCCAACGUGUGUUCUGGGGAUCAUGCUGAUGCCCUUAUUCACUGAAAAAAUGGGAAAAACUAGAAAAAAUGGGAUUUCCUCCCUCGCAUCCUAGCAUACAGUCUCAGUGUCUUUCCCCUUCUCUUCAGCUUCCCUCAACAACAGACCAGACUUCACUUCAAUGUUUUUAUACAACACAUAACAUUAUUUCCCUAGUGGAAGUACUAAUUACAAUUUAAUAAUUAUAAAUUGAUUAUUUUUAAAACAUUCUAUCAGUUAAUCAAAAUGAUUAAGUCAACAAUCAUCUAAGAAAAGACCUAAGUUUUACAAAUCAAUGCAUACAUUAUAUGUAAAAGUCUUUUUUUCUUCAAUCACAUAACAAUAACAGCAGCAGCAGGAGCAGCAGCAGCAACAACAACAAUGAAAGAAGUCAGGAGCUGUUUCUGCCCAGGAAACCGAGACCAAGCACCAGGCAGCUCAUGCUAAGACUCCACAGCGGGAGCUGGCUACUUCUAAAGACAGUCUAUAUGUCAGUAGAGUCACGGACAACCAGUGCAGCAGGGGAGGGAGCGGAAAGAGAGGUACCACCAGGGAUAUCAGAUAAUCUGUGGACAGGAUAAAACCUGAGCAGAGAAAUCAAAGGAAAACUGAGGGCCAAUGAAAGGCGAUGGGAACAGGGAAGGUAAGGCGCCAACGGGAGCAAAGCACAGUGGAGAAGGAGGAAACUGUCCAAACAAAGCCCAGCAUGGUCCACAGAAGCUAUGGAAACGCAGCAAUUGGAACAAAGGAACGGGGAGGCCUAAUGCCACUUCAGUGCACAGUUUAACAACGGAAUGUUUAUGUGCCGAGACUUCUGGAGGUCUUAAUCAAAAUGUCUAGUAUUAAGAACUGGAAGGGGCUAUGGUGUAGCCUUCUCAUUGGUUGAGUGCUUGCCCAGCAUGGCAUGCGCUAGGUAUGGCGGCACACACAUGCACUUGGGAGGUGGAGGCUGGAAGAGCAGAGUUCAGGGUCAUCUCUAGCUUCAGAGACCCUUUUGCC
Molecule: long non-coding RNA, 1597 nt
Filed under: Mus musculus (house mouse)
Lineage: Eukaryota; Metazoa; Chordata; Mammalia; Rodentia; Muridae
Description: long non-coding RNA chr3:27494413-27496010
Source: RNAcentral